UUAUCAACUGGUAGACUAUAG
RNAcentral lists this non-coding RNA (21 nucleotides) under Caenorhabditis elegans. The record is from RNAcentral. Lineage: Eukaryota; Metazoa; Nematoda; Chromadorea; Rhabditida; Rhabditidae.